Molecule: transfer RNA, 60 nt
Filed under: Ornithodoros compactus
Lineage: Eukaryota; Metazoa; Arthropoda; Arachnida; Ixodida; Argasidae
Description: tRNA-Arg
Source: RNAcentral
AAGAAUGAAGCAAUUUUGCAAUCAGUUUCGACCUGAAUAAAUGGAAAACCCCCAUUCUUA